This 76-nucleotide transfer RNA is filed under the name Shewanella piezotolerans WP3. Its description in RNAcentral is "tRNA-Phe". The record is from RNAcentral. Lineage: Bacteria; Pseudomonadati; Pseudomonadota; Gammaproteobacteria; Alteromonadales; Shewanellaceae.
GUGGUAUCUUUGCUGGCUGAAAUACCAAUGGUUGAAAAACUGGCGGUGGGAUCACCGUAGUUAACAUCUUGUUCAA